GAUGAACGCUGACAGAAUGCUUAACACAUGCAAGUCAUUGGCGAAGCUGCGCUUGCGCAGUCUAGCCAAGGCGGACGGGUGAGUAACGCGUAAGGAACUUGCCCUGCAGACAGGGAUAACAGACGGAAACGACUGAUAACACCUGGUAUUGUCAGGCUGGCGCAUGCCGGCCUGAUGAAAGGAGACGCUGCAGGAGAGCCUUGCGUCCUAUUAGCUAGUUGGUGGGGUAACGGCCCACCAAGGCGAUGAUAGGUAGCCGGCCUGAGAGGGUGAACGGCCACAAGGGGACUGAGAUACGGCCCUUACUCCUACGGGAGGCAGCAGUGGGGAAUAUUGGACAAUGGGGGCAACCCUGAUCCAGCAAUUCUGUGUGCACGAAGAAGGUUUUCGGAGUGUAAAGUGCUUUCAGCAGGGAAGAAGAAAGUGACGGUACCUGCAGAAGAAGCGACGGCUAAAUACGUG
RNAcentral lists this ribosomal RNA (462 nucleotides) under uncultured bacterium. RNAcentral describes it as "partial 16S ribosomal RNA". It matches the Rfam family "Bacterial small subunit ribosomal RNA", at positions 28 to 507 of the family's 1533-position model. The record is from RNAcentral.